RNAcentral lists this unclassified non-coding RNA (153 nucleotides) under soil metagenome. RNAcentral describes it as "partial internal transcribed spacer 1". The record is from RNAcentral.
GUGAUUAAAUCGAGCGUGUCUUCAUUGACCGCUCACCCUUCUCACCAUCCACAUACACCUGUGCACUAUUUAGCCUGAGCCGGUUUUCCGGUCCAGGUUAUCAUUUCAUACAAACUCUAGUCUUAUGAAUGUAAACGUUUUAAUAACAUACUA